UACGUAGGGGGCGAGCGUUGUCCGGAUUUAUUGGGCGUAAAGAGCGUGUAGGCGGCCAGGUAGGUCUGCUGUGAAAACUCGAGGCUCAACCUCGAGAUGCCGGCGGAAACCAUUUGGCUAGAGUCCGGAAGAGGAGAGUGGAAUUCCUGGUGUAGCGGUGGAAUGCGCAGAUAUCAGGAAGAACACCCGUGGCGAAGGCGGCUCUCUGGGACGGUACUGACGCUGAGACGCGAAAGCGUGGGGAGCAAACAGG
RNAcentral lists this ribosomal RNA (253 nucleotides) under uncultured bacterium. Its description in RNAcentral is "partial 16S ribosomal RNA". It matches the Rfam family "Bacterial small subunit ribosomal RNA", at positions 524 to 776 of the family's 1533-position model. The record is from RNAcentral.